This 248-nucleotide ribosomal RNA is filed under the name uncultured bacterium. RNAcentral's name for it is "partial 16S ribosomal RNA". It matches the Rfam family "Bacterial small subunit ribosomal RNA", at positions 523 to 769 of the family's 1533-position model. The record is from RNAcentral.
AUACGUAGGUGGCAAGGCGUUGUCCGGAAUUACUGGGCGUAAAGAGUGCGUAGGCGGAUAUUUAAGUGAGAUGUGAAAUACCCGGGCUUAACCCGGGCACUGCAUUUCAAACUGGGUAUCUAGAGUGCGGGAGAGGAGAAUGGAAUUCCUAGUGUAGCGGUGAAAUGCGUAGAGAUUAGGAAGAACACCAGUGGCGAAGGCGAUUCUCUGGACCGUAACUGACGCUGAGGCACGAAAGCGUGGGUAGC